This 612-nucleotide ribosomal RNA is filed under the name uncultured Sebacina. RNAcentral's name for it is "eukaryotic LSU rRNA". The stretch from base 219 to 372 matches the Rfam family "5.8S ribosomal RNA". Lineage: Eukaryota; Fungi; Basidiomycota; Agaricomycetes; Sebacinales; Sebacinaceae. The record is from RNAcentral.
AAGUCGUAACAAGGUUUCCGUAGGUGAACCUGCGGAAGGAUCAUUAAUGAUUACGAAUGGUUGCCUUCUGUGCUGGCCAGAAACUGGCAAGUGCACGUCGGUGGCUUUCAUCCAAUACCCUGUGAACCUUUGGCCUCUUGCUAGCUUUGGCCGGCAGAGGAAUUUUACACAAACUCGAAUGUAAUGAAAUAUACUGUCGUGCGCAAGCACUAAUGUACAACUUUCAACAACGGAUCUCUUGGCUCUCGCAUCGAUGAAGAACGCAGCGAAAUGCGAUAAGUAAUGUGAAUUGCAGAAUUCAGUGAAUCAUCGAAUCUUUGAACGCACCUUGCACCCUUUGGCAUUCCGAAGGGUAUGCUCGUUUGAGUGUCAUUGUACUCUCACACUCCCGAUCUUUGGAUUGGGAGCGGUGGACUUGGGUGUUGCUGCUUACCGUGGCUCACCUCAAAUAAACUCGUGCAUCUCUUGGUUGGACAUAGUACGGCGUGAUAAGUGUCUUCGCCGGCGCCUCACUUCGAGGGUGGCCGAUCGGGAGCUCUGUGCUUCUAACCGUCUUCGGACAACAACUGACAACUUGACCUCAAAUCGAGUAGGACCACCCGCUGAACUUAA